RNAcentral lists this unclassified non-coding RNA (479 nucleotides) under Hevea brasiliensis (rubber tree). The record is from RNAcentral. Lineage: Eukaryota; Viridiplantae; Streptophyta; Magnoliopsida; Malpighiales; Euphorbiaceae.
UAAUUUCUAAUAUCCUUGUUCUGUUAUUUGGGACCAUAAAACAACAUGGUCAUUCGCAUCUUGCCAUUUUGUGCCUUUUUUUUCCUUGUCUCCUUUCAAGUGUGUAAGUGUCAAACUUUUUCUCUUUUUUUAUGUCAACUAGAUAUGUUAUAUAGUUUCUUGAUUUAUUUCCAUGGUUUCUCUGCAUUAUGUACUCGAUUUUCUAGUGUUGUGUUGAAAGUACAACACUAUAUUGCACAUACCUCUAUGGCAUAUAGCACUAAUGACCAAUAAUGCUAUUCUUUGUCUGUAAUAUUAAGAAAUGUUUGAAAAUUCAUUUUCAUUUGCAAUUUAUGAGCUCAUUAUACUGUGAUCUGCUUCCACUGUGUGUGUGCGCAUUUGCGGAAUUGUCUCAAUUUUUUCUCACAUGAAUCAACAUGGUUUUCCAUGAUGAAGACUAGUUGAUUCAUAGUUUCAUCUUUUCAAUAUCCCACUUGUUG